RNAcentral lists this ribosomal RNA (341 nucleotides) under Potamonautes sp. n. SRD-2017. RNAcentral describes it as "partial 12S ribosomal RNA". The record is from RNAcentral. Lineage: Eukaryota; Metazoa; Arthropoda; Malacostraca; Decapoda; Potamonautidae.
UUAUUUUCUUUAAAUUCAAAGAAUUUGGCGGUGAUUUAGUCUGGUCAGAGGAACCUGUUUUUUAAUCGAUACAACACGUAAAAACUUACUUAUUUUGUUUUAGUUUGUAUACCAUCAUUAUCAGAUAAUUUUAUAAAAAAUAAAUUAUUAAAAAUAAUUAUAUUAGUUAAAUUAGAUCAAGGUGCAGCUUAUAGAUAAGUUAAAAUGGGUUACAAUAAGAUUUACUUACACGAAAUAAGAUUAGUUAUGGAUCUUAGGAAGGAGGAUUUGAUUGUAAUAUAAAUUUAAUAAGUUUAGGUGAUAAAAGCUCUGAAUUGUGUACACAUCGCCCGUCACUCUND